RNAcentral lists this ribosomal RNA (490 nucleotides) under uncultured bacterium. RNAcentral describes it as "partial 16S ribosomal RNA". It matches the Rfam family "Bacterial small subunit ribosomal RNA", at positions 30 to 507 of the family's 1533-position model. The record is from RNAcentral.
AUUGAACGCUGGCGGCAGGCAUAACACAUGCAAGUCGAACGGUAACAGGGAUCAGCUUGCUGAUUCGCUGACGAGUGGCGGCCGGGUGAGUAAUGUCUGGGAAACUGCCUGAUGGAGGGGGAUAACUACUGGAAACGGUAGCUAAUACCGCAUAACGUCGCAAGACCAAAGAGGGGGACCUUCGGGCCUCUUGCCAUCGGAUGUGCCCCGAUGGGAUUAGCUAGUAGGUGGGGUAACGGCUCACCUAGGCGACGAUCCCUAGCUGGUCUGAGAGGAUGACCAGCCACACUGGAACUGAGACACGGUCCAGACUCCUACGGGAGGCAGCAGUGGGGAAUAUUGCACAAUGGGCGCAAGCCUGAUGCAGCCAUGCCGCGUGUAUGAAGAAGGCCUUCGGGUUGUAAAGUACUUUCAGCGGGGAGGAAGGGAGUAAAGUUAAUACCUUUGCUAAUUGACGUUACCCGCAGAAGAAGCACCGGCUAACUCCGUG